UAAACAAAAAAGGAUGGGGUAUUCUCAAUCAAUUUGAAACGUAUAAAUAACUAAGUUAAAAACUCAGCACAUAAUGGAACUAUUGGUUCCAUUCAGUUGCACUGUGGCAUUUCAGGAAAUAAGACAUGAACCUUGCGCCACAACUAUUUAUUUUGUCAUGGAUUUUUUCUUUAUUUCUUGAUUGCUACGCCAAAUGCCAACAUCCCACUAUUUCCCACAUCACUGGCGAUGGUUGUCGUCCGAAAGAAUCUUGCGCAGAUCCUUUGGAGUUUCCGAGUCUCACAUUUGAGUCUCCUGAUUGUAUCAAUGAUCUAUAUUGCUGCCAACAAGUCAAAUAAUACAAUAUAUUUUUAUAUAAAGAGAAACCUUUUAUUAAAAUAUUUAAGGUAGCCUUAAUUCCAAUUUUGGCACAUUUGCAAUGCA
Non-coding RNA from Drosophila bipectinata, 423 nucleotides. Lineage: Eukaryota; Metazoa; Arthropoda; Insecta; Diptera; Drosophilidae. The record is from RefSeq and is a predicted model, not a curated record.